GGCGCACGGGGAGGCGGUGGGCGCCAAAGGAAGGGGGUGAGAAGCCCCUCUUCUCCCCACCCCACGGCUCAAGGAGUCCGGGCGGCGGAGCAGAGUCACACCCAGAACCUCCUCCUGCCCCUGCUUCGCCAAGCCACUCGGUAGAGUCGCCGAGCCCGCACCUGGCAGACCCCCUCCAGCCUCAGAGAGAGACUCCUGUCCUAAAUGUCCGAAGCCCCAGCAGAGGGACUGUCCAGCUGAAUCCAGUCAACGCACAGAACCCCCCAAACUGGAAACAACCUGAUGUCCACCGACUGAUGAACGAGGAGACACGACACGUUGUAUCACUGUGACAGAACCUCUUCAGCACCAAAAGGAGCAAAUGACUGACACCUGUCACAUCAUGGACGAACCUCAGAAACAUUAUGCAAUGUGAAAGAGCCACACACAACAUAGUGACAUGGCAGAGGCGAAUGGGCUCAACUUUACGAUGCUUUUGUCACUGAAUGGAAGAAGAGAAUUAUAACGUCCUUCAGGAGGAAGGCUGUGGUGUCCGUUCCAGUCUGGCCUCUCAGAAAUGCAGACCUUCUAGAAUCUAGAAUGGAAAGGGGGCUUCGAGAGAAUGAUCUGAUCCAAAGGCAGAGACGUUUGUGUCCACCUAGAUUUACCUUAUUUUUAAAGGCCCUCAAAGUAGGCAACUGAAACAUCUUGUCUAAUCAUCCAUUAAUUCCCACAUCGGAAGUUUACUACUUUUUGUCGGUAAAGUUUAAAGCCCAGCAAUUUAUUUUUUAAUCUCUAAAUGUGUUUUUACUUGUGUUUUACAAAUUCACAUUGUACAAAAUUCAAAAGGGACGAGAGUGUAGAUAGUAAAAUAUUUCUCUCCUGUUCUUAUGUUCUUGUCCCCAGCCAUCUAGUUUCCUUCUCUGGGGCCCUUUUUUUUUUUUUUAAUUUUAAUUGAAGUAAAACAUAUUUACAUAACAUAAAAUUCAUCAUUUUAACCAUUUUAAAGUGUGUGAUUCAGCAGUUUUUAUAUAUCCGCAGUGUUUUGCAAUCAUCAUUCCUAUCUAAUUCCAGAAUAUUUCCAUCACCCCAAAACAAAACCCUGUACAUUUCCCAAUUCCUCCUCCCUGUUCCCUA
Long non-coding RNA from Pteropus alecto (black flying fox), 1116 nucleotides. RefSeq lists it as uncharacterized. NCBI's taxonomy places the organism in Eukaryota, Metazoa, Chordata, Mammalia, Chiroptera, Pteropodidae. The transcript has 4 exons. The record is from RefSeq and is a predicted model, not a curated record.